Molecule: ribosomal RNA, 582 nt
Filed under: uncultured bacterium
Lineage: Bacteria
Description: partial 16S ribosomal RNA
Rfam family: Bacterial small subunit ribosomal RNA
Source: RNAcentral
UGGGGAAUUUUGGACAAUGGGCGAAAGCCUGAUCCAGCAAUGCCGCGUGUGUGAAGAAGGCCUUCGGGUUGUAAAGCACUUUUGUCCGGAAAGAAAUCCUCUGGGUUAAUACCUCGGGGGGAUGACGGUACCGGAAGAAUAAGCACCGGCUAACUACGUGCCAGCAGCCGCGGUAAUACGUAGGGUGCAAGCGUUAAUCGGAAUUACUGGGCGUAAAGCGUGCGCAGGCGGUUUUGUAAGACCGAUGUGAAAUCCCCCGGGCUCAACCUGGGAACUGCAUUGGUGACUGGCAGGCUAGAGUAUGGCAGAGGGGGGUAGAAUUCCACGUGUAGCAGUGAAAUGCGUAGAGAUGUGGAGGAAUACCGAUGGCGAAGGCAGCCCCCUGGGCCAAUACUGACGCUCAUGCACGAAAGCGUGGGGAGCAAACAGGAUUAGAUACCCUGGUAGUCCACGCCCUAAACAAUGUCAACUAGUUGUUGGGGAUUCAUUUCCUUAGUAACGUAGCUAACGCGUGAAGUUGACCGCCUGGGGGAGUACGGUCGCAAGAUUAAACUUAAGGAAUUGACGGGGUCAUAGCUGUUU